This 406-nucleotide long non-coding RNA is filed under the name Trifolium pratense (red clover). RNAcentral describes it as "long non-coding RNA (TPRA_LNC005935)". Lineage: Eukaryota; Viridiplantae; Streptophyta; Magnoliopsida; Fabales; Fabaceae. The record is from RNAcentral.
AUCUAUUUUAUUCAUAUUUUUAAGCAUAUCACCUUUCUAUUUUUUUUAAUAUUUAUUUUAGUGAAAUUACAAUGAAAGAUAUAAAACUUGCAACGUGGUUAAAAGUAGUAAGGAUAAAUUAGGAAAUCUGGUGGUAAUCGAUUUUUUUUUUUUGGUUUACAAUGAGUUGGAGAUCGAACCCAUGACCUAUAACGUACUAUCAAAACCCCUCAACACUAGAUCAAACCUAAUGGCUUUGGUGGUAAUCGAUUUUAAUAUAUUAGUAAUAGAUGUUUUUAUUUAUUUAAUAUGUUAGCUUGUUAGAGAAUCUAACUCUAAAAAAUAUUUCCAUUUAAAUAAGAUGAUAAAAGAUUUUUUCUUUCAAAUAAAAGAUGAUAAAAAAAUUUCUUAUUUACUUUAUAGCAAC